CCUACGGGAGGCAGCAGUAGGGAAUCUUCCACAAUGGGCGAAAGCCUGAUGGAGCAACGCCGCGUGAGUGAUGAAGGCCUUCGGGUUGUAAAACUCUGUCAUUCGGGACGAACCGGAGUCUGAGGAAAUGCAGACUCUCUGACGGUACCGGAGGAGGAAGCCCCGGCUAACUACGUGCCAGCAGCCGCGGUAAUACGUAGGGGGCAAGCGUUGUCCGGAUUCACUGGGCGUAAAGCGCGCGCAGGCGGUGAUGUAAGUCUGAGGUGAAAACCCGAAGCUCAACUUCGGGACUGCCUUGGAUACUGCGUCACUUGAGGAUAGGAGAGGCAAGGGGAAUUCCACGUGUAGCGGUGAAAUGCGUAGAGAUGUGGAGGAACACCUGUGGCGAAGGCGCCUUGCUGGCCUAUUUCUGACGCUGAGGCGCGAAAGCGUGGGGAGCAAACAGGAUUAGAUACCCUGGUAGUCCACGCUGUAAACGAUGAGUGCUAGGUGUAGGUGGGCUCAUACCCAUCUGUGCCGAAGCUAACGCAUUAAGCACUUCCGCCUGGGGAGUUACGGUCGCGAGACUGAAACUUCAAAGAGUUAGUUAGGCGUUGAGAGAGCGACGGACGGACGACGACGGAGGUAGGUAGG
Molecule: ribosomal RNA, 633 nt
Filed under: uncultured bacterium
Lineage: Bacteria
Description: bacterial SSU rRNA
Rfam family: Bacterial small subunit ribosomal RNA
Source: RNAcentral